This 543-nucleotide long non-coding RNA is filed under the name Danio rerio (zebrafish). RNAcentral describes it as "lncRNA (ENSDARG00000117269.1)". The record is from RNAcentral. Lineage: Eukaryota; Metazoa; Chordata; Actinopteri; Cypriniformes; Danionidae.
UUUUGUUUUAUAGAACCUAAUAGUUCAUGUUUAUAAGUUUUUUUAAACAUAUGCUUUUAAAUGAUGAUUUGUGUUUUAAUAUGGAAAUUAUUUAUAGAAUCACUUUGUCUUACCACUAAUAUUUAUUUUCACCACUAAUAUUUAUUUUCACCUGUAACCAUCCCCAUCAUUCUUCUUCUCUUCUCAGAUUGGAUGGUGGGCCAAACCAAAGGUUACCAUGGGCCAUCUUUGGCCUGCAGACCCUAUUUUGAGCAUAUCUAGUAUAUACAGAAAAGAAUUGAUCGCUGCUGAGAAGAGGCCCAGAAUGCUCUUUUAUGCUCUCCAUUGCUAUCCUCCAGAUCACAGUGAUCAUCUCUGCUCGAUGUCUUCCUUGAAGAUUGUCAAGUGUAAUGAACCACCGGUCAGCUGAUGAACUUGGACACGGAGGGACGACACCGAGCAAGAGAAGUCAAAGGUCAGAGGUCAUCACCCGGAGAUCAUGUGCAAUUUGUAAGCACUUCUUUCCUUGUUCUUAUCUGUUUCGAAAUGGAUUAAAUGUCCUCG